RNAcentral lists this ribosomal RNA (269 nucleotides) under uncultured prokaryote. RNAcentral's name for it is "partial 16S ribosomal RNA". It matches the Rfam family "Bacterial small subunit ribosomal RNA", at positions 524 to 792 of the family's 1533-position model. The record is from RNAcentral.
UACGGAGGAUCCGAGCGUUAUCCGGAUUUAUUGGGUUUAAAGGGUGCGCAGGCGGGAGAUUAAGUCGGCGGUGAAAUUUUGCAGCUCAACUGUAAAAGUGCCUUCGAUACUGGCUUCCUUGAGUGUGGAUGAAGUAGGCGGAAUUUGUGGUGUAGCGGUGAAAUGCAUAGAUAUCACGAGGAACUCCGAUUGCGCAGGCAGCUUACUAAACCAUAACUGACGCUCAGGCACGAAGGCGUGGGGAUCAAACAGGAUUAGAUACCCCGGUA